GAUGAACGCUGGCGGUAUGCUUAACACAUGCAAGUCGAACGAGCUCUUCGGAGCUAGUGGCGGACGGGUGAGUAACGCGUGAGAAUCUGUCUUCAGGUCUGGGACAACAGUUGGAAACGACUGCUAAUACCGGAUGUGCCGUGAGGUGAAAGAUAAAUUGCCUGAAGGUGAGCUCGCGUCAGAUUAGCUAGAUGGUGGUGUAAGGGACUACCAUGGUGACGAUCUGUAGCUGGUCUGAGAGGACGAACAGCCACACUGGAACUGAGAAACGGUCCAGACUCCUACGGGAGGCAGCAGUGGGGAAUUUUCCGCAAUGGGCGAAAGCCUGACGGAGCAAUACCGCGUGAGGGAGGAAGGCUCUUGGGUUGUAAACCCUCUUUUCUCUAGGAAGAUAAUGACGGUACUAGAGGAAUAAGCAUCGGCUAACUCCGUGCCAGCAGCCGCGGUAAU
RNAcentral lists this ribosomal RNA (450 nucleotides) under uncultured cyanobacterium. RNAcentral's name for it is "bacterial SSU rRNA". It matches the Rfam family "Bacterial small subunit ribosomal RNA", at positions 28 to 524 of the family's 1533-position model. The record is from RNAcentral. Lineage: Bacteria; Bacillati; Cyanobacteriota.